AAGUUGCUGGCAUCUGCCAGCCGAGACCGUCUGAUCCACGUGUUAGAUGCAGAGAGUGAUUACAGUCUGCUCCAAACCCUGGAUGAACAUUCCUCCUCCAUCACUGCUGUCAAGUUUACAGCAAACGGUGGCAGUGUCAGGAUGAUCACCUGUGGAGCAGACAAGAGCAUUUACUUCCGGACAGCUCAGAAGACCGCUGAAGGCACACAGUUCACCCGAACCCACCAUGUGGUUCGAAAGACGACGCUGUAUGACAUGGAUGUGGACUCCACCCACAAGUACGCAGCCAUUGGAUGCCAGGACAGAAGCAUUCGGUGA
Molecule: non-coding RNA, 318 nt
Organism: Chiloscyllium plagiosum (whitespotted bambooshark)
Lineage: Eukaryota; Metazoa; Chordata; Chondrichthyes; Orectolobiformes; Hemiscylliidae
Source: RefSeq, a predicted model, not a curated record